AGCCCAACAGCUCGCCUCCAACCCUAAAUUCGACAAUCAUUAUUAAUAACCCCUAAUUUCCUUAUUCAAAUAAUUAAAUCAUUUUUCCUCCCUAGUAUGUGCGACAGAACAGCAAAUACGCGAGCGCUAUAGACAAAGUACCGUAAGGGAAUGCUGAAAGAGAAAUGAAAUAACCCAGUUAAGCACAGAAAAGCAGAGAUUAAUUCUCGUACCUUUUGCAUCAUGAUUUAGCAAGUUUACUCAAGCAAAAAGCAUUUUAGUUUGAAAUCCCGAAACUAGACGAGCUACCCCAGGACAGCCUAAUAUUAGGGCACACCCGUCUCUGUGGCAAAAGAGUGGGAAGAUCCUUGGGUAGAGGUGAUAAACCUACCGAGCCUAGUUAUAGCUGGUUGCCUGGGAACUAAAUAUAAGUUUAGCCUCUUGUAUUCUUAUACCAAUAAUGGACACCCCUAAUUUUAGGUUUUGAGAAGACACUGAGAGUUAUUCAAAAGGGGGACAGCCCUUCUGAACCAAGAUACAACUUUCUUAGCUGGAUAAUAAUUAUAUAUCAUAAAGUUAAUGCUUAGGUGGGCCUAAAAGCAGCCACCCUAACAGAUAGCGUUAAAGCUCAAACAUAAUUUAAACUAAUUAUACCAAUAAUAAAUUAUAAGCCGCUAGAAUUACCAGGUCCUCCUAUUUUAUAUAGGAAAGAUUAUGCUAAUAUGAGUAAUAAGAGAACUUGUUUCUCUCCAUGCAUAAGUGUAAAUCGGAACGGACAAACCACCGAACAUUAACGGCCCCAACCUAAGAGGGAAUUAGAGCUAAAAUAGAAAACAGGAAAUAUCUCAAUUUAUUAACCGUUAGCCCCACACUGGUGUACAAACUUGGAAAGACUAAAAAGAGAAGAAGGAACUCGGCAAAUACCCAAUUAAGCCUCGCCUGUUUACCAAAAACAUCGCCUCUUGAACUAGCUGUAUAAGAGGUCCUGCCUGCCCUGUGAUAACAUUUAACGGCCGCGGUAUCUUGACCGUGCAAAGGUAGCGCAAUCACUUGUCUUUUAAAUGAAGACCUGUAUGAAUGGCUAAACGAGGGCUAAACUGUCUCCUUCCCUAGGUCAAUGAAAUUGAUCUUCCCGUGCAGAAGCGGGAAUGAAUACAUAAGACGAGAAGACCCUAUGGAGCUUUAGACACAAGGGCAUAUCAUGUUAAAGUAUUGAUUUUAAACAAUUAAAACAAAUUGAAUUCUGCCACAAUGUUUUUGGUUGGGGCGACCGCGGAGAAAAACCUAACCCCCGUGCGGAAUAAAAGCAUAAUCUUUUAAAACCGAGAGCUACAGCUCUAAGUAACAGAACAUCUGACCUUAGUGAUCCGGCAAUGCCGAUUAACGAACCGAGUUACCCUAGGGAUAACAGCGCAAUCCCCUUUUAGAGUCCCUAUCGACAAGGGGGUUUACGACCUCGAUGUUGGAUCAGGACAUCCUAAUGGUGCAACCGCUGUUUAGGGUUCGUUUGUUCAACGAUUAAAGUCCUACGUGAUCUGAGUUCAGACCGGAGUAAUCCAGGUCAGUUUCUAUCUAUGAAAUAUUUUCUUCUAGUACGAAAGGACCGAAGAAAAGGGGCCAAUGCUACAAGCACGCCCCACCCUUAUCUGCUGAAGGCAACUAAAAUAGAUAAAAGGGUAUAUUUUUUAGCUAAAAAUAAUAGCGU
This 1684-nucleotide ribosomal RNA is filed under the name Fundulus notatus (blackstripe topminnow). RNAcentral describes it as "16S ribosomal RNA". It matches the Rfam family "Bacterial large subunit ribosomal RNA". Lineage: Eukaryota; Metazoa; Chordata; Actinopteri; Cyprinodontiformes; Fundulidae. The record is from RNAcentral.